CCGGGUUAUUCCAUUCAAUUCUUGUUGCUCUGCACAAUUUGCCAUAAUAUCUAUUGAACAACAGAGAACUCAGUAUAGGCGUUGCCUUGUAAACAAGAAGAUAUAAGAAGAUGCUAGUGAAGACAUCUAUGUUGUCUUCUUGGCUUGAAGAACUAAUAUAGUCAUAUUCAUGAGAGGAAAUUGAUGCAGGCAAAGAACCAAAAGAUGAAAAACUAAAUGCCAUCAUAACCCUUUGUUGAAAUUUGCUACAUGUGAUAAAGCAAGAAUGCUACCUGCAGAUGAGGACAGAGAGCAAAAACGGGUCUUGAUUGAUUCUUGAUUAUUGUUGCUAUUGUAAGAAGUGAAAGAGAGAAAGGAGAAGAAAUGAAACAGAACAGAAUGAUGGAAUCAUA
This 392-nucleotide long non-coding RNA is filed under the name Lupinus angustifolius (narrow-leaved blue lupine). RNAcentral's name for it is "long non-coding RNA (LANG_LNC003006)". Lineage: Eukaryota; Viridiplantae; Streptophyta; Magnoliopsida; Fabales; Fabaceae. The record is from RNAcentral.